Molecule: long non-coding RNA, 709 nt
Filed under: Musa acuminata (dwarf banana)
Lineage: Eukaryota; Viridiplantae; Streptophyta; Magnoliopsida; Zingiberales; Musaceae
Description: long non-coding RNA (MACU_LNC000290)
Source: RNAcentral
AAGAAAGAUGUCUUCCUGUGGAGGAAACUGCAAUUGUGGAUCCGGCUGCAGCUGCGGCGGAGGGUAUUUCAACUCUCUAUCUCCGCGUCACUGAAUUCCUGUUCUUGCUCACCAUGUUCUUCCUCUUCUUUCGAAGAUCUUACUGUGUGUUACAGUCGGUAUGAUUCAAAGGGUUUUCACAAGGAGCAUCAUCUUUUGUGUCUUCCUCUGGUGUAGGUGCAAGAAGUACGCUGAUUUGGACGAGAAGAUGGUCAACUCUGAGACCAUGAUCCUUGGGGUUGCACCUGAGAAGGAGUAUGUUGGCAUAACAUGAUUGUUUCUUUUGGAUACAUCUUGUUUGUUUCAUUUGCCAUGAGAUAGUGAGAUCGGUUGAACAUUGCAGACACGUCCAAGGACCAGAGAUGGCUGCUGCAUCAGAGAAUGAAGGUUGCAAGUGUGGAUCUAGCUGCUCCUGCAACCCCUGCAACUGCUAAGUGUGAUGUCUCAUCAAAGAAUAAAACCCUAGGUGGACUGUGAUGUGUGGGUGUGGUGUUUUACCUGUGUGAUGUCUUCUUAGGUCGUCUGAGUGCAAUAAAACAAAGGCCAUAGUGGCAUAUAUUCCAUGAAAUGAUCUCCCUGUAUCAGUUGCUGCCAUGGCUGUUGAAUGUUCUACCUGUACUUAUAUGUGAUGGUUAUGAACUAUGUUGAUUGCUUGUGUGAAGGUUCCAAU